ACGUAGGGGACGAGCGUUGUCCGGAGUUACUGGGCGUAAAGCGCCCGCAGGCGGUCCGCUCAGUUUGCGCCGACAGCUCCUGGCUUAACUGGGAGAGCGGGGCGAAGACGGGCGGACUGAGAGGACCAGAGAGGGACAUGGAACUCCGGGUGUAGUGGUGAAAUGCGUAGAUAUCCGGAAGAACACCAAAGGCGAAGGCAGUGUCCUGGCUGGUACCUGACGCUGAGGGGCGAAAGCUAGGGGAGCGAACGGGA
Molecule: ribosomal RNA, 254 nt
Filed under: uncultured prokaryote
Description: partial 16S ribosomal RNA
Rfam family: Bacterial small subunit ribosomal RNA
Source: RNAcentral